CAGCAGCCGCGGUAAUACGUAGGGUGCAAGCGUUAAUCGGAAUUACUGGGCGUAAAGCGUGUGCAGGCGGUUUGUUAAGACAGAUGUGAAAUCCCCGGGCUCAACCUGGGAACUGCAUUUGUGACUGGCAAGCUAGAGUGUGGCAGAGGGGGGUGGAAUUCCGCGUGUAGCAGUGAAAUGCGUAGAUAUGCGGAGGAACACCGAUGGCGAAGGCAGCCCCCUGGGCCAACGCUGACGCUCAUGCACGAAAGCGUGGGGAGCAAACAGGAUUAGAUACCCCUGUAGUCCCUGUCUCUUAUAC
RNAcentral lists this ribosomal RNA (301 nucleotides) under uncultured bacterium. RNAcentral describes it as "partial 16S ribosomal RNA". It matches the Rfam family "Bacterial small subunit ribosomal RNA", at positions 509 to 807 of the family's 1533-position model. The record is from RNAcentral.